GUCUGGCAGGCAGUUUGACUGGGGCGGUCGCCUCCUAAAAGAUAACGGAGGCGCUCAAAGGUUUGCUCAGAAUGGUUGGAAAUCAUUCGUAGCGUGUAAAGGCAUAAGCAAGCUUGACUGUGAGACUGACAAGUCGAGCAGGUACGAAAGUAGGACUUAGUGAUCCGGUGGUUCCGUAUGGAAGGGCCAUCGCUCAACGGACAAAAGCUACCCCGGGGAUAACAGGCUCAUCUCCCCCAAGAGUCCACAUCGACGGGGAGGUUUGGCACCUCGAUGUCGGCUCAUCGCAUCCUGGGGCUGUAGUCGGUCCCAAGGGUUGGGCUGUUCGCCCAUUAAAGCGGUACGCGAGCUGGGUUCAGAACGUCGUGAGACAGUUCGGUCCCUAUCCGUCGUGGGCGCAGGAAAUUUGAGAGGAUCUGUCCUUAGUACGAGAGGACCGGGAUGGACAUACCUCUGGUGUACCAGUUGUUCUGCCAAGAGCACCGCUGGGUAGCUACGUAUGGAUUAGAUAAUCGCUGAAAGCAUCUAAGUGAGAAACUAACCUCGAGAUGAGAUUUCCCAUUCGUCAGAAGUAAGACCCCUGAGAGACGAUCAGGUAGAUAGGCUAGAAGUGGAAGUGUAGUGAUGCAUGGAGCGGACUAGUACUAAUAGGUCGAGGACUUAACCAAG
RNAcentral lists this ribosomal RNA (669 nucleotides) under Oenococcus oeni. Its description in RNAcentral is "bacterial LSU rRNA". It matches the Rfam family "Bacterial large subunit ribosomal RNA", at positions 2256 to 2925 of the family's 2925-position model. The record is from RNAcentral. Lineage: Bacteria; Bacillati; Bacillota; Bacilli; Lactobacillales; Lactobacillaceae.